This 582-nucleotide ribosomal RNA is filed under the name uncultured bacterium. RNAcentral describes it as "bacterial SSU rRNA". It matches the Rfam family "Bacterial small subunit ribosomal RNA", at positions 102 to 694 of the family's 1533-position model. The record is from RNAcentral.
AAGGGAGAGGACAACACGGGAAUCUGCCUUGGGGACGAGGAUAGCGUCGGGAAACUGACAGUAAUACUCGAUAAUGUUUGCGGACCAAAGGUGUGACCCCGCCCCAAGAUGAGCCCGUGCCCCAUUAGCUAGUUGGCAGGGUAAUGGCCUACCAAGGCUGUGAUGGGUAGCUGGUGUGAGAGCACGACCAGCCUCACUGGCACUGAGACACUGGCCAGACACCUACGGGUGGCUGCAGUCGAGAAUCUUCGGCAAUGGACGAAAGUCUGACCGAGCGACGCCGCGUGCGGGAUGAAGGCCUUCGGGUUGUAAACCGCUGUCGUAGGGAAUCAAGUGUAUGAGGGUACUCCCUUGUAUUUGAGAGAUCCUAGGAGGAAGGAGAGGCUAAGCUCGUGCCAGCAGCCGCGGUAAGACGAGCUCUCCAAACGUUAUUCGGUAUUACUGGGCUUAAAGAGUUCGUAGGCGGCUUUGUAGGUGAGAUGUGAAAGCCCUCGGCUUAACCGAGGAACUGCGUUUCAAACCACAGGGCUUGAGGGAGAUAGGGGUAAGCGGAACAGAUGGUGGAGCGGUGAAAUGCAUUGA